CAAAGGUGAGCCAGUACAGGAUGGACCCGCGUCUGAUUAGCUAGUUGGUAAGGUAACGGCUUACCAAGGCGACGAUCAGUAGCCGACCUGAGAGGGUGAUCGGCCACAUUGGAACUGAGACACGGUCCAAACUCCUACGGGAGGCAGCAGUGGGGAAUAUUGCACAAUGGGCGAAAGCCUGAUGCAGCAACGCCGCGUGAGUGAUGAAGGCCUUCGGGUCGUAAAACUCUGUCCUCAAGGAAGAUAAUGACGGUACUUGAGGAGGAAGCCCCGGCUAACUACGUGCCAGCAGCCGCGGUAAUACGUAGGGGGCUAGCGUUAUCCGGAUUUACUGGGCGUAAAGGGUGCGUAGGCGGUCCUUCAAGUCAGGAGUGAAAGGCUACGGCUCAACCGUAGUAAGCUCUUGAAACUGGGAGACUUGAGUGCAGGAGAGGAGAGUGGAAUUCCUAGUGUAGCGGUGAAAUGCGUAGAUAUUAGGAGGAACACCAGUUGCGAAGGCGGCUCUCUGGACUGUAACUGACGCUGAGGCACGAAAGCGUGGGGAGCAAACAGGAUUAGAUACCCUGGUAGUCCACGCUGU
RNAcentral lists this ribosomal RNA (580 nucleotides) under uncultured bacterium. RNAcentral describes it as "bacterial SSU rRNA". It matches the Rfam family "Bacterial small subunit ribosomal RNA", at positions 202 to 803 of the family's 1533-position model. The record is from RNAcentral.